RNAcentral lists this ribosomal RNA (388 nucleotides) under uncultured bacterium. Its description in RNAcentral is "bacterial SSU rRNA". It matches the Rfam family "Bacterial small subunit ribosomal RNA", at positions 29 to 416 of the family's 1533-position model. The record is from RNAcentral.
AUUGAACGCUGGCGGCAUGCCUUACACAUGCAAGUCGAACGGUAACGCGGGGGCAACCCUGGCGACGAGUGGCGAACGGGUGAGUAAUACAUCGGAACGUACCCAGUAGUGGGGGAUAGCUCGGCGAAAGCCGGAUUAAUACCGCAUACGACCUAUGGGUGAAAGCGGGGGAUCGCAAGACCUCGCGCUAUUGGAGCGGCCGAUGUCGGAUUAGCUAGUUGGUGAGGUAAAGGCNCACCAAGGCUACGAUCCGUAGCUGGUCUGAGAGGACGACCAGCCACACUGGGACUGAGACACGGCCCAGACUCCUACGGGAGGCAGCAGGUGGGGAAUUUUUGGACAAUGGGCGAAAGCCUGAUCCAGCCAUGCCGCGUGUGUGAAGAAGGCC